GAUGAACGCUGGCGGCGUGCCUAAUACAUGCAAGUCGAGCGAACAGACGAGGAGCUUGCUCCUCUGACGUUAGCGGCGGACGGGUGAGUAACACGUGGAUAACCUACCUAUAAGACUGGGAUAACUUCGGGAAACCGGAGCUAAUACCGGAUAAUAUAUUGAACCGCAUGGUUCAAUAGUGAAAGACGGUUUUGCUGUCACUUAUAGAUGGAUCCGCGCCGCAUUAGCUAGUUGGUAAGGUAACGGCUUACCAAGGCGACGAUGCGUAGCCGACCUGAGAGGGUGAUCGGCCACACUGGAACUGAGACACGGGCCAGACUCCUACGGGAGGCAGCAGUAGGGAAUCUUCCGCAAUGGGCGAAAGCCUGACGGAGCAACGCCGCGUGAGUGAUGAAGGUCUUCGGAUCGUAAAACUCUGUUAUUAGGGAAGAACAAAUGUGUAGUAACUAUGCACGUCUUGACGGUACCUAAUCAGAAAGCCACGGCUAACUACGUG
Molecule: ribosomal RNA, 496 nt
Filed under: uncultured bacterium
Lineage: Bacteria
Description: partial 16S ribosomal RNA
Rfam family: Bacterial small subunit ribosomal RNA
Source: RNAcentral